This 287-nucleotide ribosomal RNA is filed under the name uncultured microorganism. Its description in RNAcentral is "partial 16S ribosomal RNA". It matches the Rfam family "Archaeal small subunit ribosomal RNA", at positions 330 to 617 of the family's 1478-position model. The record is from RNAcentral.
GCGCAGCAGGCGAGAAACCUCCGCAAUACACGAAAGUGUGACGGGGCCAUCCCGAGUGCCGUCCGCUGAGGACGGCUUUUCCCCAGUGUACAUAGCUGGGGGAAUAAGGAGAGGGCAAGCCUGGUGUCAGCCGCCGCGGUAAUACCAGCUCUCCGAGUGGUGGGGACGCUUAUUGGGGCCUAAAGCAUCCGUAGACCGGCUGGGCAAGUCCUCCGUUAAAUCCAACGAUUCAAUCGUUGGGCUGCGGGGGAUACUGUCCAGCUUGGGGGCGGGAGAGGCCGACGGUA